RNAcentral lists this unclassified non-coding RNA (261 nucleotides) under Hevea brasiliensis (rubber tree). The record is from RNAcentral. Lineage: Eukaryota; Viridiplantae; Streptophyta; Magnoliopsida; Malpighiales; Euphorbiaceae.
UCUUUUACGAACAAUCCCGUCAGUUGCUGCAACGCGCUGAUGAAAUUGAAUCGAUGACGAAACGUAUUGGCAAAGGCUGGAACGUCCACUUGAACAUCGGGUUCGUGGGUUCAGUUCUGUACGACGCUUUACCUAAGCUUAUUGGGCAGUUCAGAACAGCUGCCCCUGCUGUCGAGGUUUCGCUUUUCGAAAUGACUACGCUCGAACAAGUGUCGGCCCUCAAAGAUGGGCGAAUUGAUAUUGGAUUUGGACGGAUCCGAU